AUUGAACGCUGGCGGCAUGCCUUACACAUGCAAGUCGAACGGCAGCACGGGAGCAAUCCUGGUGGCGAGUGGCGAACGGGUGAGUAAUAUAUCGGAACGUGCCCAGUAGUGGGGGAUAGCCCGGCGAAAGCCGGAUUAAUACCGCAUACGACCUAAGGGUGAAAGCGGGGGACCGUAAGGCCUCGCGCUAUUGGAGCGGCCGAUAUCAGAUUAGGUAGUUGGUAGGGUAAAAGCCUACCAAGCCAUCGAUCUGUAGCUGGUCUGAGAGGACGACCAGCCACACUGGGACUGAGACACGGCCCAGACUCCUACGGGAGGCAGCAGUGGGGAAUUUUGGACAAUGGGCGAAAGCCUGAUCCAGCCAUGCCGCGUGCAGGAAGAAGGCCUUCGGGUUGUAAACUGCUUUUGUCGGGGAAGAAACGCUCUGGGCUAAUACCCUGGGGUAAUGACGGUACCCGAAGAAUAAGCACCGGCUAACUGCGUGCCAGCAGCCGCGGUAA
Molecule: ribosomal RNA, 500 nt
Filed under: uncultured bacterium
Lineage: Bacteria
Description: partial 16S ribosomal RNA
Rfam family: Bacterial small subunit ribosomal RNA
Source: RNAcentral